CCCUUUCCAGAAUCCGAUGCCAAUAUGACUGAACUCCAGUUUUUGCGGUUGUCGCCACCGCCGCCGCUGCUAGGGCUGGUGAUACAAUGCCGCUGAGGAAUGAUCCUUUAAACAACCACUGGCAACAGAACCUCAGCCCUUUAAGGUCAGAAUAUUAUUGCUUUUAUCAUCAGAAGUUUAAAUCUUCAGGGGGGAAAUGAAGCAGAGCAGUGCUCAAGGAAGGUUUACAGCUAAGGAGGCUCCAUGGAGGAUUGCCUGAAGGACAUGAAGUCCAUCCAUCUCUCCAGAUAGUUUAGAUUAUAUCUCAAGAUCAAGAUGUGGAAGCCGGGAUUCAAAGAUGACACAGGUGGCAGUGCUGGCCAUCAAGCUAAAGCGUCAUACCAUGCUGGCCUCUUCCUAAAAGUAAGUCUUGCCUGAAUUAGCAUGAAAAGUGACUCAAGGUCACUUUUCAUUAUGGAAAGUGACUCAAGGUGAAGGGAGGAUAUAUCAUUUCCUUCUGUCUUUUGUCGCCGUUGUUGAGAUGGCAGCUACUGCCCUUCAUAUUUGCUAAAGGGAAAAAGUGAUUACCAAACUCUUCCUGGUUUUAAGGGUGAAGUUAAGUAACUGGAAUAAUAUAAAAACCGAGAGGAAUCAACUAGAAGAAUACACACUGAGUAUGCAGAGCCAAAAAGGAGUAAUCAGCAGAGGAAUGUUGCUGGGUAAUAUACUUUGAAAAUUCCAUAUCAACACCCUAUACUUUGGCUGAAAUCCAAACAUAUAAUCUAAGCAAGGCCCUCUAAACCAGUGAGUUUUAAAUUCCUUAUGUUUAACAGAGAAGCAGCUGGAGGCCGUCCUAUUCUUUAAGAAAGAGGAGGAAUGAAUAGAUUCCUCAGGCUGAUAGAGCUGAGAAAGGCAUCUCCGAGGCUCUUGCAUCACCUGUGUUAAUAUGCAGGUCCUCAGAACUGCAGCUUUCUCAACUCGGUCCUAUCUUAUGCGCAUUAUCCUGGAAUGUUCUCCUCUGUUGCUCUCUGGGAAUCUGCAGACAGUUCAUGUGGAAGUCUCUCUCCUCGUCUGAAGGAAUUAAAUAGAAUAUUAUAAUUACUCAGAGUUUAAUAUAUGCUACAACUGUUUUUGCUGGCUUGGCGUUUAAAGAUGCAAAUGUUCCAAUCUCCUAGAAACAUGACAUUAUAAAAGGGACUACCGUAAUUAGGAAUAAAACUGUUCAGUCCUCAUUAACCAGAAAAGCAGUUUCUAAACCCAGGGAGGCUCUACUUUUAUUCCAAGAAAAGUCAGGAAGAUGGUGCCACAAGAGCCUAAUAAAGAUUUUGGGUCAACUUGUGCUCACUGCAAUUGAUUAGGAUCCAUGUGAAAUGAUUUUUAAAAGGAAAUGAACAACAAAUGCUUCUGACAGAAGAAAAGUAAUCAGGGAAAAGCCUGAAGAAUCAUCUUAAGCACACUCUUGUUUAAAGUUUCACUAUCAUUUUAUUCUUGAUUGCCCAAAUUCAUUCAGCCUUAAUGCAUUGUUAAAGAGCCUGUCCUAUUAGCCAAGGAUGUUAUGGUAACUGGUUGUAAGACUACUGCUCUCCUGGUUACAACACGUGACUAGAAAAAUGCUUUCUUAAUUAAGGCUGAGAGUGAUGAGUCCCUGGUGACUCAAAGUAGUUAAGGAGUGUGUAUAAAACUGAGCACAGGCUAGUCUCGAAGAUGAUGGCAGGCUUUACUUUGGUUCUUUGAACUCCUCAUCCAUUCCUGUCCUGCCAGAACUGUCUACACUGAUGCCUCACUGUGGCAUUAGUCACGGUAAGAGCCAAACGUGUUGUAAGCCUGUGCCUUUUUAUACCUGUCGAAGGGGAUUUGGUCACUGAAAUCACAAGUGAACCAUGUUAUAAGGUGUUUAACUGUGAGGCAGUCUCCCACAUAGAAGGAAGACAGGAACAUUUGGAAGGAAUGUGAUUUGUUUAUGUUUUCUCAUAGGUACUUGCGACGUGUCUGCUUCUGAGAAAAGCAACAUCCAUAGAUUUCAGAUAGAUAGCAUAUUAUCUAGCCCUCAUUUUUUCUUUUAGCUGAAGUUCUUAUCACCUGUGUUUCAAAACCUAAUUAAGCGAUGGUUCAUUCAUAGCAGGACACUGGACAGGAACUAGGCUCUAGUCUCUUCUUUGUCACUAACCAAUUCUGUGGAUCUCGGCAAAUUAGCUCUCCAGUAGAACGUUGUUGCUUUGUCUUGUAAUAUUAGCAGCUCUAUUUAUUAAACACUUUCUCUGCAGUAGCACUUUAACUAGAUUGUUUCAUUUAAACCUCAUCAUAACCCAAUGGGCAGGUUCUAUUUUAACCUCCAUUCUGCAGAUGAAGGAGUUGAGGCAUAGAAACCUGAAUAGUUUGUCCAAAGUGACACAACUUGGAUGUGAAGGGGUCAGGAUUUGGUUUCGUUUCUGCUGGUGUGCUGAACCUACAGGCUAUGUGUUUCUCUUAUUGCCAGACUACCCCACCCAAGAAUUUAUGGAGCAGGGAGAUUUUCCCACUCCACAUAUUCUUAAAUGUACUUAGAAAUGAGUUGGCUUAACUCAUGUAACAUGUCUAUGCUGCUAUAUGUAAUUUGAUUUUUUAAUUUUUUAAAUUUUUUCUUCUUGUUUUCCCAACCAGAGUAAAAUGUCCCGAUGAGUUAGUGGAAAGACUACUUCCUAUAGGAUAAUGAAUGAGUUAUCUGCCCUUUAUAAAUUCUUUCCUUUAUAAAUAGAGAUAAUAAUGCCUGGCUUAUACUUUUUUGAUGUUUUAAGUACAAAAUGGCUAUAAGAUGGAUAGUGGCACUAUAAAAAGAUAAUUUGUUUAUAGUAUUUUAAAAUAUUGGCUCUCUCGGGAAAGGCUCCUUCUUCCACAGUGUAUCUGCCGGGUCAUGUCAUGUUGUGAGAUGCUAAAGUAGAGGUGUUGAUCAUACUUUGUGGUUUUUCCAUUUAGAAAAGAAUUCUUAAACACAUUCUUAUUUAUCUUUGCACUAUUAAUUAAUGUAACAGGAAGAACAGUUUAAUGGUGAAUGUGAAACCUUUAUUGAGUACCUAAAUUUGCUCUAGAUGUUAGCUCAUUGAAUUCUCACCAUUGCUCUAUGAGAAAAAUGUGAGAAAACUGAGACUCAGAGAUGUUAGGUAACUUCCAUAGGACAUACAGUUUUCUGUUGAGAGCUGGUAGGGAGACAGAGGUUUAGCUCUCUCUAGAAACCAGAGCUUCCGCCAUGUCAUACUGAAUACAGAAACAUUCUUUAAGAUUUUUGUGCAUAAAUAUACAUACAGAUGUAUGUAUAUUGUUCAUGUACCAUUUUAUUAAAAUAUCCAACUGAACAGCCAACAUUUUCAUAAUAAAUAUUAUGGUGAUAGAACAUUAUGGCUUAAAAUCCUGAAAGUACCCACUGGAAAAGACCUUAAAAUCAGGAAGCUCAACAAGUGAUUCAUUGCUUUUCCAGCUGCUGCCUGGACAUUGCCUGCAAUGUGGAACUCACUGUCUCAAGGGCAAACAGUUUCACGUUUUACUCGUAGAAAGUAUUACCAUUAGACUAUCCAUCAGGCAUCUCAAAUUUAACGCGUUCAAAACUUAAUCCAUAAAGUUGUUCCAUAAUUUUGUUUAAAGUUAAUUGAGGAGCUGGGCUUACCAGAGAAGAGCAGGCACUAAUGAGGAUAACAUUAUUCCAUCAAUAAUUAACGACAGAUUAUAUUUUAAGAUUUUUUUUUAAUUACUGAGGCCAAAGAAAGAGGUCAGUAGGAACUGUUGCCUUAUAUCCUUGAAAUUUACCAAAAUUACCUUGUUAGAGCUUAAUGCUCCAUUUAUGUUAGAAGACAAUUGCGUCAGUCAGAGUUCCAAGCAAAAAGCAGCCGGUACUUUCAAAAGGGUUUUGAGGCAUGUUAAUGAAAGGACGUUUACAAAGGUAUGGGCAUAGUUCAAGGAAAUCAACAGAGUAGAUCUUCACCACUGCAAGCAUUUCAGGGACAGCAAUUGUGGAGGACCAUUAGCAGCUAUAGGCAUGAGAGAGUGAGGAAGGAGCAAGUUUCAGCAGAACCCAGGGCAAGUGACGAUACAAGACCCCCAGCAAAGACCUGGAACCAACCCAAAUAUCCAUCAUCGAUAGACUGGAUAAAGAAAA
Sapajus apella (tufted capuchin) is the source of this 4105-nucleotide long non-coding RNA. RefSeq lists it as uncharacterized. NCBI's taxonomy places the organism in Eukaryota, Metazoa, Chordata, Mammalia, Primates, Cebidae. The record is from RefSeq and is a predicted model, not a curated record. The transcript is spliced from 3 exons.